UACGAAGGGAGCUAGCGUUGUUCGGAAUCACUGGGCGUAAAGCGCACGUAGGCGGAUGUGUCAGUCAGGGGUGAAAUCCCGGAGCCCAACUUCGGAACUGCCUUUGAUACAGCACGUCUUGAGUCCGAUAGAGGUGGGUGGAAUUCCUAGUGUAGAGGUGAAAUUCGUAGAUAUUAGGAAGAACACCGGUGGCGAAGGCGGCCCACUGGAUCGGUACUGACGCUGAGGUGCGAAAGCGUGGGGAGCAAACAGG
RNAcentral lists this ribosomal RNA (253 nucleotides) under uncultured bacterium. Its description in RNAcentral is "partial 16S ribosomal RNA". It matches the Rfam family "Bacterial small subunit ribosomal RNA", at positions 524 to 776 of the family's 1533-position model. The record is from RNAcentral.